CACGAGGGUCUCACUGUCUUAAGGAAAUUUCCAGUGAAAUUGAAUUUGUAGUGAAGAUGCUACAUCCAAAUUGUUAGACAAGAAGUCCCCAUGGAACUUUACUGGAGACUUAUGUGGCUUAAAUUAAUUGUUUUAAAAUGUGGUGUUAACCUCUCGGAUUAACUAGGGUUAGAAAAGCUCACUUUUUAUUUAAGGAAAGCCCACUCAAAGCUUUAUGUCUUUGGGACUUGAUAAGUGGGACAGUUUGGUUGGGGCGACCGCCUUUAAAAAAGUAACGAAGGCGGGCUUAAGAUAUAUAUUUAGUGAUGUCUGACUGCCAAGGGGAGAUCCUGAGCAGACACUUACUUUUUAGGUGGGUUUAAGUGACCCGUUAAUUUAGGGGGAAAUAGUUAACGAUAAACA
Molecule: ribosomal RNA, 402 nt
Filed under: Trochocyathus rhombocolumna
Lineage: Eukaryota; Metazoa; Cnidaria; Anthozoa; Scleractinia; Caryophylliidae
Description: partial 16S ribosomal RNA
Rfam family: Bacterial large subunit ribosomal RNA
Source: RNAcentral